RNA transcript from Trifolium pratense (red clover), 2244 nucleotides. It is a transcript of the gene named F-box protein At4g02760-like, with no coding region annotated. The record is from RefSeq and is a predicted model, not a curated record. NCBI's taxonomy places the organism in Eukaryota, Viridiplantae, Streptophyta, Magnoliopsida, Fabales, Fabaceae. The transcript has 13 exons.
GUGAUUGAAGUCAAGUAAGUGAGUGUGGAAUGUAAAAUCAAUCAUAUCAAUUCACGAGACAGUAACAUGAAUAUUAUUAUGAUGAUGAUGAUAUUAUAUUCUUCUCAUACAUAGUUACUUACUCUACUAAUAAUAAUGUAUUGAUGCGGUUGGUUAUGGAUACGGUUGAAGAAGAAUUUGUUGAGAUUCCAAUUCCAAUUCCAUCAUCUACUUCUUCAUCAUCAAUGGCGAAAAGACCUUGUCCAUCUCAAAACCCUAGAAUGGAACUCGAAAAUCUCCUCUACCAAUUCCUCUCCCUUUCCGAUCGUCCUUCUCUCUCUCUCGAUCUCUCCUUCGAGAAUCUUCUUCAAUCAAUGCCUCCUGAUACCGAUCUCAUCGAUCGCGCUCUCAAAAUGGGAUCUCUACUUCUUGAUGCUGCCAAACACUCCUCACGCAAACGCGCUUCUAAUCAUAAUUCAAUUGUUUGGCCUCUCCCUCCUGAUCUCACUUUCAAGAUCUUCUCGAUGCUUGAUACUCAGAGUCUGUGCUAUGUAUCUGCUGCUUGUUCGUUUUUUAGCAAAUGUGCUAAAGAUCCUUUGUGUUAUGAGAAUCUUGAUUUGACAACACUUGUUCCUAAGGUUAACAAUGCAGUAGUUGCUACUAUGAUUCAGCGAGCUGGAAAGGCACUAAGGUCUCUUAAACUUGGUGUUGUCCCUGCUACUGCUUGUUCUCCUGGAUUUUGUCAACCAAUGGUUUCUACCAUCAGAAAGGCUAUUGUAGAGGCCCCUAACUUUUCAUGGAAUGAUAAGAGAUCUCGCCAAGGGAGAGAGUCAUCCGUUCUUACAAGAUGCUGUUUAAGCCCUUUAAGUGGGGAUGGUGGUGCACCAGGGGCUCUUUUGAGAAAGUUACACCUGUACAAUAUUGAGAGAAUGGACAGCACAUCCCUUUGUGGUGCAUUGUCGGCGUGCCCAUCUCUCCUUGAUCUGGAAAUUGUCGGAAUCCAUGUUGAACUGAGGCAAACAUUAAUGUCAGUAAGUGCAAACUGCCACCUGAUUGAGCGUUUGUUUUUUGAGUCUUCAAGAACAGGUAGAGAUGACAGCUUGAAAGCGCAAACCUGUUCUGAGCUAGUAAACAAUUGUCCUAAUCUAACUUCUUUAUCUCUUCGAGGGUUUAAGCUACAUGAUUGUAAAGUUCGUAUACUGGUUAAGGGAUUUCGGAAACUGAAAUAUGUUGAUUUUUCAUCAUCAUAUUCAAUCACAGGAAAUUUCUUAAGGAACCUUGGAAACUGCAAUGGUGGGAAUUUGCUCGAGGUCCUAAUUCUAAGGGAUUGCAUGCAUCUCAAAGAGAUGGAAGUUAUUAGGUUUUUGACAGCAAUUCUUGCAGGAGAUUUCAAAUUGCUUAUGCAUCUUGACAUAUCCAAUAGGGAAGGCCUAGCAUGUGAGGCUGACUGGUACCACAGGUGCUACAGCUCUAACAGUAAUAUGCCUAUCAAGCAGGUUUUGGAAGCAAGGCCUGAUAUGCGAUUGGUGGCUGAAUAUCCAUCCGAAGGAAGCUACGCCGAGACAUUUGAUGCUGAAAUGAAUAGUGAUAUAAGUCUGCAAUUCAGCAGCCCUACAUCAGAUGGAUCAAUUUUUAUGAGUACAUCUGAAAGCAGCUACAACAGUGACCAUGGUAGUGGCAAUGAGGAAGGACAAGAUGCGGUGAUUUAUGGGGAAAGUUCAGAUGAGGACAACAAUAUGAACCUGUAACCAAUCCUCAAUUUAUGGCAUUAAUGGAAAAGGACAACAAUCUAGUGAAGUUGGGGAGCAGUAGGGUGAAGAAGGAUAUACCAUUCGCCAGGAUCGAUGUCAACUGUGGACUCUGGAUUUUUCAGCUUUUGUUUUGCCCUUCACCAACGCUAUUGAGGAUUGGAGAUUGGUACCAAUUUUGUUAUUGGCCUUUGUUUCCAUAUUUGCAGAAUGUAAAUAUAUGGCCGCACCAUCCCGGUCUACCCCUAAAAAGAGAGGUGGUUUUUCCUGAGCAUCAUCAAUCCAUAUAUAACAUGGGAGUUUUUGUUCUCUCUCUAUCUCCCACUCCCUUUGAUACUAGGCACUAGCUAUCUAAGAAGCAAAAUAAAAUUAAUAAACAAUUAUCUGUUUACAUUAUUAUUAUUAUUAUGACCGAGCAUGGCAUGACAUUUAUUUCGAACAAAAGAAAUGUGGACAAUUUUUUUAAGGUAUAAUUGGUGGGUAAUGAAAUUUUGAUCAUGAUCUCAUGAAUUACUCA